GGGUUAAGUCCCGCAACGAGCGCAACCCUUGUCCCUAGUUGCCAGCGAUUCGGUCGGGAACUCUAGGGAGACUGCCGGUGACAAACCGGAGGAAGGUGGGGAUGACGUCAAGUCAUCAUGGCCCUUAUGGGCAGGGCUACACACGUGCUACAAUGGUCGGUACAGAGGGCUGCAAACCCGCGAGGGGGAGCCAAUCCCAGAAAGCCGAUCGUAGUCCGGAUCGGAGUCUGCAACUCGACUCCGUGAAGUCGGAAUCGCUAGUAAUCGCGGAUCAGCAUUGCCGCGGUGAAUACGUUCCCGGGCCUUGUACACACCGCCCGU
RNAcentral lists this ribosomal RNA (321 nucleotides) under uncultured bacterium. Its description in RNAcentral is "bacterial SSU rRNA". It matches the Rfam family "Bacterial small subunit ribosomal RNA", at positions 1077 to 1397 of the family's 1533-position model. The record is from RNAcentral.